This 422-nucleotide ribosomal RNA is filed under the name uncultured prokaryote. RNAcentral's name for it is "bacterial SSU rRNA". It matches the Rfam family "Bacterial small subunit ribosomal RNA", at positions 338 to 774 of the family's 1533-position model. The record is from RNAcentral.
CCUACGGGGUGCUGCAGUGGGGAAUAUUGGGCAAUGGGCGCAAGCCUGACCCAGCAACGCCGCGUGAGGGAAGAAGGCUUUCGGGUUGUAAACCUCUGUCCUUGGUGACGAAGAAAGUGACGGUAGCCAAGGAGGAAGCCCCGGCUAACUACGUGCCAGCAGCCGCGGUAAUACGUAGGGGGCGAGCGUUGUCCGGAAUUACUGGGCGUCAAGGGUGCGUAGGUGGCCUUUUAAGUUGGAUGUGAAAUACCCGGGCUUAACUUGGGGGGUGCAUCUAAUACUGGAGGGCUAGAGUGCAGGAGAGGGAAGCGGAAUUCCUAGUGUAGCGGUGAAAUGCGUAGAUAUUAGGAGGAACACCAGUGGCGAAGGCGGCUUUCUGGACUGUAACUGACACUGAGGCACGAAAGCGUGGGGAGCAAACA